GAGUGGCGAACGGGUGAGUAACACGUGGGUAACCUACCUCUUAGCAGGGGAUAACAUUUGGAAACAAGUGCUAAUACCGUAUAAUACCAACAACCGCAUGGUUGUUGGUUGAAAGAUGGUUCUGCUAUCACUAAGAGAUGGACCCGCGGUGCAUUAGCUAGUUGGUAAGGUAACGGCUUACCAAGGCAAUGAUGCAUAGCCGAGUUGAGAGACUGAUCGGCCACAAUGGGACUGAGACACGGCCCAUACUCCUACGGGAGGCAGCAGUAGGGAAUCUUCCACAAUGGGCGCAAGCCUGAUGGAGCAACGCCGCGUGUGUGAUGAAGGGUUUCGGCUCGUAAAACACUGUUAUAAGAGAAGAACGGCACUGAGAGUAACUGUUCAGUGUGUGACGGUAUCUUACCAGAAAGGAACGGCUAAAUACGUGCCAGCAGCCGCGGUAAUACGUAUGUUCCAAGCGUUAUCCGGAUUUAUUGGGCGUAAAGCGAGCGCAGACGGUUAUUUAAGUCUGAAGUGAAAGCCCUCAGCUCAACUGAGGAAUGGCUUUGGAAACUGGAUGACUUGAGUGCAGUAGAGGAAAGUGGAACUCCAUGUGUAGCGGUGAAAUGCGUAGAUAUAUGGAAGAACACCAGUGGCGAAGGCGGCUUUCUGGACUGUAACUGACGUUGAGGCUCGAAAGUGUGGGUAGCAAACAGGAUUAGAUACCCUGGUAGUCCACCACCGUAAACGAUG
RNAcentral lists this ribosomal RNA (732 nucleotides) under uncultured bacterium. Its description in RNAcentral is "bacterial SSU rRNA". It matches the Rfam family "Bacterial small subunit ribosomal RNA", at positions 93 to 811 of the family's 1533-position model. The record is from RNAcentral.